GCCUACCAAGGCGACGAUCAGUAGCCGACCUGAGAGGGUGACCGGCCACAUUGGGACUGAGACACGGCCCAAACUCCUACGGGAGGCAGCAGUGGGGAAUAUUGCACAAUGGGGGAAACCCUGAUGCAGCGACGCCGCGUGAGUGAAGAAGUAUUUCGGUAUGUAAAGCUCUAUCAGCAGGGAAGAAAAUGACGGUACCUGACUAAGAAGCCCCGGCCCCCUAACUAC
RNAcentral lists this ribosomal RNA (228 nucleotides) under uncultured bacterium. RNAcentral's name for it is "partial 16S ribosomal RNA". It matches the Rfam family "Bacterial small subunit ribosomal RNA", at positions 263 to 508 of the family's 1533-position model. The record is from RNAcentral.